RNAcentral lists this ribosomal RNA (448 nucleotides) under uncultured bacterium. RNAcentral describes it as "partial 16S ribosomal RNA". It matches the Rfam family "Bacterial small subunit ribosomal RNA", at positions 330 to 794 of the family's 1533-position model. The record is from RNAcentral.
UCCAGACUCCUACGGGAGGCAGCAGUGGGGGAUAUUGCACAAUGGGGGGAACCCUGAUGCAGCGACGCCGCGUGGGUGAAGGAGCGUUUCGGCGCGUAAAGCCCUAUCGGCAGGGAAGAAGGAGGACGGUACCUGACUAAGAAGCCCCGGCUAACUACGUGCCAGCAGCCGCGGUAAUACGUAGGGGGCAAGCGUUAUCCGGAUUUACUGGGUGUAAAGGGGGCGCAGACGGCAGCGCAAGCCAGGAGUGAAAGCCCGGGGCCCAACCCCGGGACUGCUCUUGGAACUGCGCGGCUGGAGUGCAGGAGGGGCAGGCGGAAUUCCUGGUGUAGCGGUGAAAUGCGUAGAUAUCAGGAGGAACACCGGUGGCGAAGGCGGCCUGCUGGACUGCGACUGACGUUGAGGCCCGAAAGCGUGGGGAGCAAACAGGAUUAGAUACCCUGGUAUC